Molecule: ribosomal RNA, 164 nt
Filed under: uncultured bacterium
Lineage: Bacteria
Description: partial 16S rRNA
Rfam family: Bacterial small subunit ribosomal RNA
Source: RNAcentral
UGGGGAAUCUUCCACAAUGGGCGCAAGCCUGAUGGAGCAACGCCGCGUGAGUGAAGAAGGUCUUCGGAUCGUAAAACUCUGUUGUUAGAGAAGAACAUGCAGGAGAGUAACUGUUCUUGUAUUGACGGUAUCUAACCAGAAAGCCACGGCUAACUACGUGCCAG